Molecule: long non-coding RNA, 484 nt
Organism: Juglans microcarpa x Juglans regia
Lineage: Eukaryota; Viridiplantae; Streptophyta; Magnoliopsida; Fagales; Juglandaceae
Exons: 3
Source: RefSeq, a predicted model, not a curated record
AUUUUUCUUGUUGGAAAUGGGUAUUACUGCUAUGUCCAUUGAGAUUAUUCAUGUUCUGUUUGGUUUGAUUGCUAUGUGAUGUUUCGAUUGAUGCCAAGACUAGUCUGUACACCCACGGGUUGGUCUGUGCAGACCCAUUGCUAUGUUCUGUUUGCAUGCUUUGUGUGUGUUUCAAUGCUAUGUGUUGUGUCAAUGCUUUGGGUUGGUCUGUACAGACCCAUUGCUAUGGUUUGUUUCAAUGAUGUGUUAUGUUUCAAUGCCAUGUGUUGUGUCAAUGCUUUGGGUUGGUCUGUGCAAACCCAUUGCUAUGUUCUAUUUCAAUGUUGUGUUAUGUUUCAAUGCCCUUGUGCUCUGUCAAUGCUUAUUUGAUGUUUCAAUGCUAUGUGUUAUGUCAAUACUUAUUUGUUAAAUGGGCUGCGAAUGCUCUUAUGUGUUGUUUCGAUGCAAUGUGUUAUUUCAAUGCUAUGUGCUGUGUUUCAAUGCU